Molecule: ribosomal RNA, 627 nt
Filed under: uncultured bacterium
Lineage: Bacteria
Description: bacterial SSU rRNA
Rfam family: Bacterial small subunit ribosomal RNA
Source: RNAcentral
UCACGCUGGCGGCGCGCUUAACACAUGCAAGUCGAACGAGAAAGUCCGCAAGGAUGAGUAAAGUGGCGUACGGGUGAGUAACACGUGGAUAAUCCACCUCUUAGUGGGGAGUAACUCUGGGAAACCGGAGCUAAUACCGCAUGAGCCUGGAAAGGGAAAGCAGCAAUGCGCUGAGAGAGGAGUCCGCGGCCGAUUAGCUAGUUGGUAGGGUAAUGGCCUACCAAGGCGAUGAUCGGUAGCCGGCCUGAGAGGGCACACGGCCACACUGGCACUGAAACACGGGCCAGACUCCUACGGGAGGCAGCAGUGGGGAAUCUUGCACAAUGGGCGAAAGCCUGAUGCAGCGACGCCGCGUGAGCGAUGAAGCCCUUCGGGGUGUAAAGCUCUUUCGGCAGGAACGAUAAUGACGGUACCUGAAGAAGAAGCUGCGGCUAACUACGUGCCAGCAGCCGCGGUAAUACGUAGGCAGCAAGCGUUGUUCGGAGUUACUGGGCGUAAAGAGUGUGUAGGCGGUGUUCUAAGUUCGGUGUGAAAUCUCCCGGCUCAACUGGGAGGGUGCGCCGAAAACUGGAAUGCUCGAGUGUGGGAGAGGAAAGCGGAAUUCCUGGUGUAGCGGUGAAAUGCGUA